GUAUUUAUCUCUGGGUGGGGAGGUGUGGGUUUGGGUUUAGCCCGCGGGUGUGUGUCUGUGUGGGUUUGUUUGUGUGUUUCUCUCCCAGGGUGUCCACAGUUCCGGGCAGGGUCUGUCCCUCCCUGUGAGUGAUGGCGACGGCAGGAGACCUGAGGAGGCACGUAGGGUCUUAGCUCCCUGACCAGGAAUCGAACCAGCAUCCCCUGCGUUGGGAAGCGAAGUCUUACCCACCGGACCACCGGAGAAGUCCCCCAGAAAGCCGCUCAGCCUGCAUCCACUGCCUCUGUUCACAGCCCAGGGCUCCGCGGUGCCCGAGGCAGACAUUUCUGGCUCUUUCACUCCGGCCCCUCCCCCAUUCCCCCUGUCUCUGGUCAGACUGGAUUCCUCUGAAUCCGUCUGGCUCCCAGAACUGGCUGCAUUUCCCCACCUUGGGCACCUUUGUCCUCGCUGUUCCCUCUCUCUGUUCUCCUUCCCCUAGUCUGGCUGCCUUGCCCAACUCCAGGGGGACCCCUCCAUGGAGAUUUCUGUCCUCAGAGUCCUCUGCUGCACAACCCAAGAAUUCAGUGCCGCCUGGAGUUGAGCCAGGCAGCUCCUCCUCCCAAUCAGGCCCCCUCCCUGGCAACCCCAUCUCCAACUCCAUCUGAUUUAACCCUCCCCUUCGAAGUCUCGUGGGACUUUGCUCCCGCUCUGGCUUUAUCGGAGGACCGCUCUGUGUAUCUU
Bos taurus (domestic cattle) is the source of this 720-nucleotide long non-coding RNA. The record is from Ensembl. NCBI's taxonomy places the organism in Eukaryota, Metazoa, Chordata, Mammalia, Artiodactyla, Bovidae.